AGAACAUUGGUGAAUGGGACAGUAAUCUUUGGCGGAUAGUUGCAGCGAGCCGGGUCAGUGGAAGCCGGUACGGAAGCCUUAGGCGAAGCGGACCCAGGAAAUGGUUUGCCGAAGCAGCACUUGCGGAGCAGUAGGCAAAUCCGGUCAUGGACCGUUACGAAAACGAGGGGUCAAGCAGCUAGCAGGCUUGGCACUUAGAGUGGUACCACGGGAUCUUCACGGCUCUCGUCUCUUAU
This 236-nucleotide non-coding RNA is filed under the name Bacillus sp. (in: firmicutes). Its description in RNAcentral is "Bacillus sp. T-box sequence". It matches the Rfam family "T-box leader". Rfam says of the family: Uncharged tRNA acts as the effector for transcription antitermination of genes in the T-box leader family. The record is from RNAcentral. Lineage: Bacteria; Bacillati; Bacillota; Bacilli; Caryophanales; Bacillaceae.